AGUGAACGCUGGCGGUAGGCCUAACACAUGCAAGUCGAACGGCAGCACAGUAAGAGCUUGCUCGUACGGGUGGCGAGUGGCGGACGGGUGAGGAAUACAUCGGAAUCUACUUUUUCGUGGGGGAUAACGUAGGGAAACUUACGCUAAUACCGCAUACGACCUACGGGUGAAAGCAGGGGAUCUUCGGACCUUGCGCGAUUGAAUGAGCCGAUGUCGGAUUAGCUAGUUGGCGGGGUAAAGGCCCACCAAGGCGACGAUCCGUAGCUGGUCUGAGAGGUUGAUCAGCCACACUGGAACUGAGACACGGUCCAGACGCCUACGGGAGGCAGCAGUGGGAGAUAUUGGACAAUGGGCGCAAGCCUGAUCCAGCCAUACCGCGUGGGUGAGGAAGGCCUUUGGGUUGUGAAGCCCUUUUGUUGGGAAAGAAAAGCAGCAGGUUAAUACCCCGCUGUUCUGACGGUACCCAAAGAAUAAGCACCGGCUAACUUCGUG
This 492-nucleotide ribosomal RNA is filed under the name uncultured bacterium. RNAcentral's name for it is "partial 16S ribosomal RNA". It matches the Rfam family "Bacterial small subunit ribosomal RNA", at positions 29 to 507 of the family's 1533-position model. The record is from RNAcentral.